UAGCAGAGAUAAAAAAAUGGCAUGUUAUGUUCCUUUUAACAGCAGAAAUUUGGACAUAAGCUUCUUCAUAUUAAGACCAACAAUUGUUUGCGCAGAUUCUCUUAUUGAUGCUCUGAAGCAGUUUUCUUCAUACACUGACGGCCUUGGCUGUGUUCAUAGUUCUAUAUUUACUAGUAUUCAUGGGAGCAUGAUUGUAUGGUAUGGGGCUUGGAUGAAGAGGAGUGAUGAGAACAAGCAACUCCUAAUUGCUGCCCUUAUUUCGGUCCUAACAAAUUUGGUCGAAAGCAUGGCCAUAUUAAUCGACCACAGCUUCUUCGAAGCAUACGCGGGAGAAUCGAGAGACGGCUCUCCGGCGGCCAAGUUCUUCACCGGCGACGUGGUGGCGAUGAGCUCGGCCAUCCUGUCCGGCGAGUGCGAAUCCAACGCGUUGAGCUGUGCAUACGCAUUUCUAGCCAUAUUUAAAGACCAGUUUCUCAAAAUGGAAGGCGCGGCGGCCGGCGUUUGCUUCAAGUCGAAAACCAUGCCGAAAAUAGUAGGCCUUGUGGUGUGGAAGUCACUGCACUCGUUCUACACGUACGUUUUAGCCUCGGAUUUUCGAAACCGAAUCCUUCCUUAUUUUGAUGGAUUUGCGGUCGACAUCAAGUAUGAUGUUUUUCGUGUGGCUUAUGUUAGUGCUCAAAAUGGCCUCGAUCAACCACUCCAAGGUGGAUUACAGACAUGAUCAUUUUACUAAUUUGGUCGUAUUUUCCACCCAAUUUUGAUGUGUUUAUGUGAGAAUUAUAAGAUGAAUUAAAGCAAGUAAGCAACUAUAACUCAAUGUGUGAGAGAGAGGUGCCAUAUAUGCCAGUGGUUAAAAUGGCUUCAUAUGCAGAAUUGGAUCAUUGAGGCUGGAAAAAUUGGCUUGAACUGACUUGAGCGGCUCCUUGAUUGCUGUAGCUUUGCAGAGGGGGCAGAAGUUCUUGCCGCAGACAAGCCACCGCCGUAUGCAGUUGGGAUGAAACUCGUGGCCGCAAUCCAAACUAGUCACCGAUCCUCGGUACAGAUCGUCUAAACAUAUGCAACAAACUUCGUCUUCAUCUUGAUGGGUUUCGUCGCAGCGACUUGUCUUGAAACAAGAGAGAACGUCGUCUUCGGAAUCGGGGGAAUCCACGUGGGUGUUGGUAACGGCCCAGACGCGAAUAUGCAAGCCGUAGCAAAUGGGAAGAAAGGAAGAGAAGGCGGGAGGAGGGGUGGCUUCAAAAGGAAAGAUCUCAACGGUAGUUCCUUCUUGUUGGGUAACUUCAUUAAACCACGUUGCUGUCGUUUGGUAUUCCUCAAUGCUCCAUGGCCACCAUAAAAUUGUUUCCGAUUCAAGAGCGCGUGUCUCUGUCUCUGUCGCUGCCAUCGCCUUUGAUCUUGAUUGGGAGAAAUUUGGUGUUUAGAGAAGUAUGAGAAAUAAUCAAGGCGAGGGGUUGAAGAUUUAUAGCUUCAGCAUAAAUAU
Salvia splendens (bonfire salvia) is the source of this 1480-nucleotide RNA transcript. RefSeq lists it as uncharacterized. The transcript has 4 exons. The record is from RefSeq and is a predicted model, not a curated record. NCBI's taxonomy places the organism in Eukaryota, Viridiplantae, Streptophyta, Magnoliopsida, Lamiales, Lamiaceae.